Empidonax traillii (willow flycatcher) is the source of this 197-nucleotide long non-coding RNA. RefSeq lists it as uncharacterized. The transcript is spliced from 3 exons. Lineage: Eukaryota; Metazoa; Chordata; Aves; Passeriformes; Tyrannidae. The record is from RefSeq and is a predicted model, not a curated record.
CUGGUGGCACCAGGCACCGCUUCCCAAGGAGCUGCUGGAGGAUGGACUGCCCUGAAUUCCUUGUGAACAACAAGAGACUGAUGAGGGCCAAGAGGGAGAAGCUGACAACCACCAGCCACACCUUGAACAGGGACCUGCUGCUGCUACCUGAGACCCUUGAUGUCCAUCUGUACCUCUCCAGGAGGCCUGCUCUGCGU